ACGGCAAUGGCGGAGCCCGGGGAGCGGCGGGGCCGGGCCGGGGCACCGGGAGCGGCUGCGGCGGGCUCGGAGGCUGAGGAAGCCAACCCUGGCGAGGAGGAAGAUGAGGAGGCGUGGGAGGAUGGAGACAGCGGCCCCCAAAGGCUGGGGAAGGCCCAGCUCCAGAGCCUGUUGGAGUGCUGGCCUGGAUUUGGGAAGAGCCAAGUAUACUGGAGCUGUGAGGUUUUUCCUGUCAGAAAUCCAUGAUGGGGAUGUUUUCCCUGGCUAUCCCAAGUGGAAGGAACAGCUUUGGAGUCCCCACAGGCUGGGGAUGCAUCCCCUGAAAACCAGUUCAGGAUUGUUCAUCUGACUCUGCCUCUGACCUGUGACUUCCAGGGACCCUCCUGGUAUCCUGGAUUUUCCCAGGAGAGGAUAUUCCAUCACCUGCCUUUUGAGCCAGGAAUUUCAGACCCAGUAAUUCAGUGACAUUCCAUCCAAGAACAUCCCAAAGUGCCUCCUCACCCUCAUGGACAGCAGGAACGUCUUCCAUGGCUCCUGUUUAGGAAUGGCAGUGGCUGUUGGGAGCUCUGGCAGGAGCACCUGGAGACCAGCAGGAAAACAUUUAAACAAGAGGUGCCAAAGAGAAUUGGAGCUUCUGCACAAUGAAAUCUGCAAGAAUCCAACUUCAAAUCCCCCUGGAUUGUCACCAGUCCAACUUCCAUGGACUGGUCACCGUGGCCAGGAGUGCCCAAUCCUGCUGGAAAUGCACUGGACCAGGAUGUCAUUUUCACUUGAUGCUGGUAAAGACCCUCUGGGUGACCCCCAGUCACUGGAAGGACCAGACUGGGCUCCCAGGGCACUAAUUCCAGGGGUUCUGUUUUUGGGAAUAGCACAGGAGCCUUUCCCUUGCCCAGAGGAGCAGCAAGUGCCUCAAAUCCCCAGGAUGGACACAGAGAAAAUAACAGGAAUAUGGAAAUCCCCCACACUGGGAGUUUGUGGUGCUCUGGAUUACAUUUUGGAUUUAAAAUGUUAAAGGAGGGUGUGGAGGGGCUUUUCUCUCUCUCCUGUUCAUUAUCAUUCUCACUGCUCUUGUUGCUCUCACUGUUAUUGUGUGUUGUCAUUAAUGUUAAAUUAUUGUAUUUGACUGGUUUCCAUUAUUAAACUGUUCUGAGCUGGA
Molecule: non-coding RNA, 1156 nt
Organism: Agelaius phoeniceus (red-winged blackbird)
Lineage: Eukaryota; Metazoa; Chordata; Aves; Passeriformes; Icteridae
Source: RefSeq, a predicted model, not a curated record